GUGUCAGCAGCCGCGGUAAUACGUAGGUGGCGAGCGUUGUCCGGAAUAACUGGGCGUAAAGGGAGCGUAGGUGGUUGGAUAAGUUAGGUGUGAAAGCCCAGGGCUCAACUCUGGAACUGCACUUAAAACUGUCCAACUAGAGUGCAGGAGGGGUAAACGGAAUUCCUAGUGUAGCGGUGAAAUGCGUAGAUAUUAGGAAGAACACCGGAGGCGAAGGCGGUUUGCUGGACUGCAACUGACACUGAGGCUCGAAAGCGUGGGGAGCAAACAGGAUUAGAUACCCUGGUAGUCUACGCCCUAAACGAUGAUUACUAAACGUGGGAGGUAUCGACUCCUUCCGUGUUGAAGCAAACGCGAUAAGUAAUCCGCCUGAGGAGUACGGCCGCAAGGUUAAA
Molecule: ribosomal RNA, 395 nt
Filed under: uncultured bacterium
Lineage: Bacteria
Description: bacterial SSU rRNA
Rfam family: Bacterial small subunit ribosomal RNA
Source: RNAcentral